CACGCCGUAAACGAUGAUCACUAGUAGUAUGAAGAUUCGACCCUUUGUGCUACGAAGCUAACGCGAUAAGUGAUCCGCCUGGGGAGUACGAGCGCAAGCUUAAAACUCAAAGGAAUUGACGGGGACCCGCACAAGCAGAGGAGGAUGUGGUUUAAUUCGAAGCUAAGCGAAGAACCUUACCGAGGUUUGACAUCCCAGGAAUUUUGGCGAAAGCCAGAAGUGCCUUCGGGAACCUGGUGACAGAUGC
This 247-nucleotide ribosomal RNA is filed under the name uncultured bacterium. RNAcentral describes it as "partial 16S ribosomal RNA". It matches the Rfam family "Bacterial small subunit ribosomal RNA", at positions 796 to 1041 of the family's 1533-position model. The record is from RNAcentral.